This 253-nucleotide ribosomal RNA is filed under the name uncultured bacterium. RNAcentral's name for it is "partial 16S ribosomal RNA". It matches the Rfam family "Bacterial small subunit ribosomal RNA", at positions 524 to 776 of the family's 1533-position model. The record is from RNAcentral.
GACGUACCGGACAAACGUUAUUCGGAUUCACUGGGCUUAAAGCGUGCGUAGGCUGCGCGGAAAGUGGGGUGUGAAAUCCCUCGGCUCAACCGAGGAAUUGCGCUUCAAACUACCGUGCUUGAGGAAGAUAGAGGUGAGCGGAACUAAUGGUGGAGCGGUGAAAUGCGUUGAUAUCAUUAGGAACACCAGAGGCGAAAGCGGCUCACUGGGUCUUUUCUGACGCUGAGGCACGAAAGCUAGGGGAGCAAACGGG